AACAAAAAUUUUAUUUUUCUUCUUCCGGAUCAAGUUGAUCCGGAUCUUCCGGAUCAACUUGAUCCGUAAGAGACUUCCGGAUUAAGUUGAUCCAGAAGUUACGGAUCAAGUUAAUCCAGAAGAGACUUUCGGAUCAACUGAUCCGGAAGAGGAAAAUUAAGCAAGGAUAAUUUU
RNAcentral lists this microRNA precursor (174 nucleotides) under Glycine max (soybean). RNAcentral's name for it is "miR1526 stem-loop (gma-MIR1526)". Lineage: Eukaryota; Viridiplantae; Streptophyta; Magnoliopsida; Fabales; Fabaceae. The record is from miRBase by way of RNAcentral.